RNAcentral lists this small nuclear RNA (20 nucleotides) under Arabidopsis thaliana (thale cress). RNAcentral's name for it is "snRNA_06045". Lineage: Eukaryota; Viridiplantae; Streptophyta; Magnoliopsida; Brassicales; Brassicaceae. The record is from RNAcentral.
GUGCCUCGGCAUCAGCGUGC